This 380-nucleotide ribosomal RNA is filed under the name uncultured eukaryote. RNAcentral's name for it is "partial 18S ribosomal RNA". It matches the Rfam family "Eukaryotic small subunit ribosomal RNA", at positions 592 to 976 of the family's 1831-position model. The record is from RNAcentral.
CAAUAGCGUAUAUUAAAGUUGUUGCAGUUAGAACGCUCGUAGUCGGAUUUCGGGGCGGGCCGACCGGUCUGCCGAUGGGUAUGCACUGGUCGGCGCGUCCUUCCUUCCGGAGACCGUCCCUACUCUUAACUGAGCGGGGGCGGGAGACGGGACUUUUACUUUGAAAAAAUCAGAGUGUUUCAAGCAGGCAGCUCGCUCUUGCAUGGAUUAGCAUGGGAUAAUGAAAUAGGACUUUGGUGCUAUUUUGUUGGUUUCGAACACCGAAGUAAUGAUGAGAAGGGACAGUCAGGGGCACUCGUACUCCGCCGAGAGAGGUGAAAUUCUCAGACCAGCGGAAGACGAACCACUGCGAAAGCAUUUGCCAGGGAUGUUUUCACUGA